UCGUAACUUCCGGCGGCCGCCGCCGGCCGCGGCAACGCUCUCGCAGCAGCAGCAGCAGCCAGAGAGGUGAUGUCGAUACGCAGAACUUGGGAGCGAGCCGCAUAAAAAGUGAGUUGCCAAGCGGCUGCGGCGUCAGUGCGUACUCCGUGUGUGUGUCGCGUCGGCUGGCCGACGGCUGCUGGUCGGCCCGUUGUCUCGAGGUUUUUAUUGUCAGCGCGACGACGCCUUGGUUACGCAGCGUUGGUGGCCGACGGCGACCGCGGGGCGCUAGGCGCUGGACAGCCCCGGACUGUAUCAUAGCGUCUCCGUCAUCGGAGUUUCACAAAACUCUUCUCCGCAGAACCUUCUCCCACUUCUCUCUUUUUUUUUUCCUUCGCGAUGUACCCGUGCAUCUCUUUUUUUUUUUGGCUGUGAAGGCCCGCCGCUCGAGCUCCGAGUCAGACGGCAUCGAUCGGGCCUCUUCAGUGGGGGAAAAAAAAAAGAAACGUGACUGUGUAUAUAUAAUGUGCGGCGGCGGAAGGACACAGCGCAGACUUGAAGAAUGCAGCGUCGCCGACGGACAGCGCUGUUGUCCCAUGCGCUCUGGAAAACUGUACCCCUACGAAGGUGAGCUGAACUUAGCCAAGACGUUCACUUACGCGAGUUUGUUUUACGUGUCUUCCCGUUUGAAUUGUAUAUUAAAAGGUCUGGUUACUGGCCGCGCAACAUUCUUUAAUGCAGGCCGGACUUUUAUCAUUUCACGAAGCCGCAGUCGCAGCGACGACCGUGCGCAGAACAUCGCGCAGUCGUAAUUUAAUUACGAGUAGUUUGCAGGGGGAAACUUCAGACGGAGUUUAGAGCGCGCGAUCGACUAUCGAAAUGAGAUAGGAGGAAUCGCCGUUCGCUAUUCUAAAAUUUUCGUUCCGCUCCACUCAUGCACAGAACUUUGCACCACAUGCGAACGUCAAACUUCUAUUCCGAAAGGGCCUCGGAUUUAUCAAUAUCAGUUUUUCGAAUAAGCCAGAGGCUCCAUAACGCAGUUAGUUACGAGUAUCAGGACAAGAAUAAGUAAGUUCGAUGAAAUCGGUUUAUGAAUUGUCAUCGCGAAGAACUUUAGUUUUGUUUGUAGUAUAAAGCACUUCGCAGCAGCAUGUCAGUGAGUCAGGCACACGUGAGCGGCGCUGUGCGCAACAGUCGGGAACCACGUCGCCGAUGUUUUCCUUCUUUGUUUUCGGCCGCGGACCCGUGCGACGUCAUAACGCGAGCUUUCCUCCUGUGUUUUUGUUUCUGUAGCGGAUCGCGGCGCAGUAACUUCACCGUAUGCAAGGAGAGAGCUGCACUAGUAAACAAGCCGCGUCUCGAUAGAGGUUUCUUGGAAGCGCCGGUUAUUGCACCGGUCGCGCGUUGGUAGACUCCGUCGCUACGCAAUCGACAAGGACGCUACCGAAGGUCCCACGUCAGGGUAACACAAAGGAAAGUCGGCGACGGCGUAGUGUUCAUAGCGCUCUGCGGUCUAGCGACGCAGCGUGGCAGUGUGGAAUACUUAGUAGCUACGAGAUUGGUAUUCGAAAUUCGUACGCCGUCAUCCUUUUUUUUUUUCACCUCUUUCUUUACAAUUAGUGGGUCUUCGUCGAUAAGCCGGAAUGUGUAAAGUUUGUAGCACUACGUUUGGCGCAUGCCAAAAAUUAAACAGAAAAAAAAAAUCAGAAAGGAAUGUUAAGGACAUUACGAUAUCAUUCCUUCGUCGUUCUUGAUCGCCGUUAUUUUCGCGCGGUCAUCGGUAGCAAAUUAUCGAGCCUCCGCGUCCCUGACGAGCGUUCUCGAUGCAUAUGCGAAGAUUCGUUAAUCGUCUCGCCAUUGUGUGGUUCAAUGUACUACGCACCGGCUGUAGUUGACCUGUUAGAGGAAAUCGUCGCGAGGCCUAACUCCGUCGACGGUGCCGUGGCUGUGUGGUGCGCGCUUUCUUUGUUCGGGACGGCGGGUCUUGUUUUGUUUGGAGUUGUUUGGCCGCGCCAUCUUGGUUCGCGCGCGGUCCGCGGGAAAGGGCAAGAGGUAGACGCGAGAGUCAGUGCUGCGAGUUCGGGCGCGCAAGAAAGUUGGCCCAAACUUGACUGCUUGAGAGAGAAAAAAAUGAAGCGAAAACAAGUAACAGACAUAAAUAUGGCGGCACUGCGGUGGCGCUAGCGUCCGCGGUAUCGCGGGGAUCCACUGUUCUGGGCCCGUUUGCAUUCUUCGUGUGAUCCGGUCGCGUCUGGGACCUUCAAGCAGACGGCGCAAUUACCUGGCAAGCGCACCCGUCCACAAGCCCACCGCAGUCUGUUCUUGAACGACUAGCAACAUGGACUCCGGCUCCAUGCAUGACCCAACAUGAAGCAACAGCAUGGUUAAAGGCGAAGCUAAACAAAAAUGGUUGCGGCCACGGCACGUGACGUCACUCAAGGUUGUCCGGGUGUAGAGAUGAGGCAUACGACGCAGCAACGGCCACCUCGGAGAAGACAACUCUAAGCGUCACACCCGAAGGUUCACCGUCCGGAGUGAGAUCCCGUCUUGGUCCCGGAGACCAGCGUCCUUGUACCGUGGGCCUGGUGAGUCCCGGAAACAGGAGAAGGCAAGGAGACCUUCUGCGUCCGAACAGUGCCGGAGGUGUGGAAGCGAGGCCAGCGCUGUUCUCCUGCGUCCGUCGCCAGAGCGUGAAGUUUGUCCGGACAAGGGAAACUAAUAUUAAGGCUUGUAAAAGAAUGUGCGCACGGAAACGCUAGUUGAGAACGUUCGUAUCCAAGUGCAGUGUAAACGAUGUGCAUGUUUGCGCUUUAUUUUGCGUGAUCUUGCGGAGCUAUGACAGUAGGCUAGGCGAAAGGUGCGCGUUAUGCAUUGUGGCCAGCUCCGAAAUUCGGCAAAUAUGUGUAAAAGAUUUCCAAAUUUGUUACGCCGACUUUUCUGAGAAUAGACGUGCCAUCAUAACAGCCAUUCUUUAUAAGCAGUGAACGUUCACGUCUGGAAGACGGUAUUAAUAUGUGGUAGAUGCGUUGCGCGCAACAAUGAAGUGCUGUCGGGCCCUAUGAGCACCUAGUUUUCGUCUUAAUAAUUAACUCCGCCAUUGGUGGCGAUAGAGUUCAGUGUGUGGAAGUGAACGACUAAGAAAGCGGUCAUAAUGCUUGCUUUCACUCUCUACGGUUGUAUCAUUUUCCUGUUGUAGCGUGUGUCCUUGUACAUAUUUUACUCUGAAAUAUUAAUCAUACUUCCUAAUCAACAAGCCGAACACAGCUAGCGUUGCUGCAAGCCGGAUAAUGUGUCCCUGACAGUACUGCCAUCGUAGUGCACCAAGGUACAUAGGUCGCUGUCUCGCUUCAAGAAGAGGAGUCCCACGGUUAGAGUAGCUGGAGAACAAGUGGCGCCCGCCGCCCUCUCGACGGGCGUAUAAGGAGAGAGGCGCACAGAGUAAGAAAGGUGGCCUUCUCCUCGGUGAGCGCCGCAACUUGUUGCAUCCCCUGUGGGAAUCGCGAAAAGCUUGCGGCCUUAAGCUUCAGCCACGCCGAAGCGUGCCCCCAGUUCCGAUAGCUGGAGGGGGAACAGAAGGGUUGGCGGUGUGUUUAAUCAAUCGAGGUUGAUCCCACGUUCUCGUCGUGACGCGACCGCCUACCUCGAAGAGAAGUGACGGCCUCGAUGAGCAUGGUUGUGUUUCUCGUGGUUUAGAGGUACACUUCCCGUGCACCAAUAGGCUUUACUGCGACGGUUUCUCAGACCAGGGGUCUGACUGCGACAGAAAAAAAAAAAAAAAAGCUGUCUCCUGAAUAGUGUGUCGGGAGGUGCCGAAAGAACAGUAUUAGAACCUCAGAUAUUGAACAGACAUUGGACAUCGUUCAGGACUCGACAGCGCCCCCGCGCACCGACCGCACUCCUUCGAAGGACAUUCAUAGCCAAAAUGGCGGUCGGGGGAAGGUCUCGGCGGCGGCCAAGGCCCCUGGUGGCGGUCGGCCGCCCUGGGCAACUCCCGCGCGUUUUGUUGCGAAGCGCUCCAGCCGCUCCAGCGCGCUGCUUUCCAUGAGGCGGCGCGGUUCGCCGGGCGCGUUUCGUUUUUAUUGUCUCCCUCGCCCUUCCCGCUCGGAGCGGCGCCUUCACAGGCGUUUUUCCUUCUCUUUUGUCUCGUUUCACCCUUUCUUUUUUGGCUGCGUUCGGCGGCGAGCACAAUGAUGAAGCCGUCUGGCGCGCCUGCGCAAACGCGGCGGCGGACCAGCCUCACCUCCUUCCUCUGCUGCCUCCUCCUCUUUUUGCGUCUGCGGCGGCGGCGACGGCAAUCGCCGCCAAGGUGCGUGCACUCGUCGUCGGCGCGCCGUCGGCGGCGCCGCCGCUUGGCGACGCUACGAGAUCGUGCGCUGCCGCUCUGUGCGCUGCUGCUGCUGCUGCUUGUGCGAUGGAGCUAGCCGGUCGGUUGGCGCAUGCGUCAGCCCCCGGUAUUUCCCUUCCCUCCGCCGCCGACUCUACUACUGCUCUGUGCUGGGCGCUCAGCGAAGCGCCGGGGGUCCACCUCUGCAUUCCGCCGCAACGGAAUUAUCGAUCGGCGCGGAGACUUUGCCGCGGCGCAGCGGCCGCCCGGGCGUAGUCGCGACCGGACGCGCGGACCGAGACGGUCGUUCGCCGGCGGCGCCCGGUCCCGGUGCUGCAACCCGUUCGCUCGCUGCCGCUGGACCCUCGGCGCGCCUCUUCGUUCCCGGCCUUCGUCGUCGUCGUACCCAUCCCGUCCCGAGUUCUGUCGGUCCUUCGUCCCUGACCCCUGUUAUCCUGCCUGCCUACCGCCCCAUCGCCCGCCUGCAUCCGUGAGAAAGAAAUGUCGCGCUUCCUCCUUCUCCGACCAUCCUCUUGUCUUCCCUACCGGUCGCCAUCGUCGUCUCGAGCCUGUCUCUGCCCCUGGCCUCUACGUGCUGCAUCAGGUGCUUGUGACUACGCGUUCGAAAGUCAGGUACCUGAAGUAGCGCGCGGAAGGCUCGAACCUUGGGCCUCCAUUCACCGAUGGACCACAACGGGCCCUCUUUGUCGUCGGAGAGCAGCGAGACGGUCCGGCGCCAUCGUGGAAGCGACGAGCCCGCUGCGGAAGGCCACAGCGACAGUCAAUGGAGGACCGCGGCUGGCCUGACUGACACUUCAGCCCCUCGCCGGCAGCGACGGGACGACGCCGGCGCCGCCGGAGCUCAACGAGGCGAGACAGCGGCCACUUCGAGCCGUGAGUUGUGUGUCGUACUGCUCGAGCCUGCCGCUGUGUCUCGCUGUUCCCUUCGCUUCUCUAGCGCGAUCGAUCGCGGUCAGGGCGCCGUCGGGAGACCGGUUCGUCAUGGCCGCUAACGUUGCCUACUCCCUUGUUAUUUAUACGUUCUACUCGGAAAUAGUUGGGAAGUCUUUUCUCCUGCGUCCUUUUGACUAAGCACAGCAGCUGUUACAUUAAAAACUCGCUUAAUGCGGCUUGGGAGAAGGAGUAGAGGGUUGCCGCAUGGGAGGCCAUGUUUUACUAGUUUCUCAGUCGCCAUGCUGCUCAGUAGGAUUGCACGCCAUGGUGGGUCCAUUUAGUUCGAUACGCGAGUAUUUCUUACCUAGACAACUUAUGCUAUAUGACUUCUCGUGUGGUGUACAAGCUUCACAGCCCCGUAACAGUUCCUUUAUCUUCAGAUAGACCAUGUAGAUUAAUUUCUAGGCGUCGUGAUAGUUUCUGAGCGCAGGCAGGUCGGCAUUUGUAGUGAAUGAACCUGUUCUCGAGAAAAACUGUGUGCGGUACGUCGCGCCUGUAUACAUUCUACCGUUAAACACUGUUUGGUUUUGAACCACGGUCUACAACCGGAAUUGGUCGUACGAAAUUUCACUAGCCCUUCAUUUUGUGGGUACGAUCUGACUGCUACACGCGCAAACGUGCAGCUUUUUCGUGAAACAAAAAUGUCAAAGAGGCAGGAGGUUGUUGAGCUGCCAUAUUGUAGUCCCCCGCACAGUCAUCAGUGUUUUAGCAAUCCUCGGGUAAACGGUGUUUCUCCUUGAAUCGAUAAAGGUAGCUUGCUUCGCUAGAAAUGGACACGCGAGAAGAGACAUUAAGGUCCGUGGUUCGGCUCGUCCGCAGCGCCAGCCCGCGCAGUGGCGAAGCGACCUCGCCGAGACGGGAGGAGAGUGCAGUGCGGUGAAGGCAGACGGCCGGUACCGCGCUACUUCGCAAAUGUCAAAAGUCAAGGGCCACCAUGGCGGUGGUGACGGCAGCUCCUCCGCAGAAUCGCGGUCCCCAACCCUGGUGCACAAGAAAUAGGGAGAGAGAGAGAGAGAGAGUCUGUCUGUGUUUAUGUAUGUGUGUGCGUAAGUGCGUGAAUAAAAAACGCUUAUGGUGACGGGCAAAGAAGGGGAAAGCGAUGUAAGAGGAGAAGGUGCGUAGCGCGUGUGCUUGUUCAGUGGCCGAGGGUUCGGGAUGAGUGGAAAGGAAGAGGCAUGUAAAGGAGCGCGAGAGAUGAAGGUGAAGAGAAGCGCUGGAUAGGGGUGGGAGGUGAUGCUGAAGAUGCGGCGGAGCCGGAUGAAGAGGAGGAGGAUGGUUUCUCCUCUCGAUGCGGAUGCGGAUGCGGCAGGAGCCUCCAGCGCGCGCCUGCGCCGCGCGCGCCCUCCAGGUUUGAGGGGCGUGGCAUCAUUGCGCGGGUCUUGCGCGCGCAUGCCGUGGCUCCCUUUGCUCGUCACUCGCGCGCGGCGCGCUAUGGGAUGGAAGGCAGCAGCCGCAUCUCGCGCUGCGACGCCCUUCUCACCCGUUUCCUUCCUUUCUCCUCAAACGCUCUGCUUCGCCUUGCAUUGAACGUUCAGAUAUGAAAUAGCCGUGCGAAUGACGUGGCGCCGCUUCGAACAUAACUGACUUGGCCUUAGCCCUAGGGUGAAAUGAGACUGCUACGGCAUUUAAAUCUUUGGUUGCCCAGGAAAUGCCCCUCGGAAUUUUUCAACGAACCUGCUUGAACAGACUGCCGCCUGCGAACCUAUUCACGACCCCGAUGGUCGGGCCUUCUGGGCUUUAGUUCGUUUGGGAGAGGCGUGUUCCUCUCCUAUAUACGGGUGACAGUGUGACCUUCCUUGUGCUCGGAAGUACCCGGUGGACGCAGUGUACUCAAAAGCAUUCUAGCAGGGCUAAUGUUUCGGGAGAUAUUUAUUUUUCUACGCGGCGCAAGGCAUCCCCCCGCUGAUGCAACAAAAUUGCACGGGCACUGGAGGUGGAAGGAUGAAUGAAGGACGCAGAGCCAGACGAAACGGUGGAGCGGAGCAAAACAUAUAAAAGAGAGUGCGCCUCUUGCUCUGCUGAUCGAUAACGGGUGACCCAGACGUACCCCCCCCCCUCCCACUCCCCUCUACCUUCCUCCCUCUUUCCUGUCUGAGGUAUCGCCACAUCCAUUUGAACUUUGUCAAUUUAGAGAGCUAGAGAUGUACCGCCAUCGCAGGCCUAAGGUGAUGGUCACUCCGGCAUGCACCCUGUCUGCGUAAGCCGUGCGAUAUAACUGGCCAGCUCGAGCGCUAGCCUAGCGGCUGAGGGAAAGAGAGAGUGCGCAUUGGAUGGAAAGAGACGUGGAGGGUGGGUAGAACGCGCUCGCAUGGUGGCGACGGCGAACCUUAAUGGUGACCUUUCUCAGCCGCUUGGAAACUCCCGUUGCAAAGAAAGUGUACAGUGGGAGAGAGUGAGGACCGCGUCUCCAUGUUCCCUGCGAUCGAAGACCGAAUGCGCGCCAAGGAGUCUCAGAAACGGCGCUCUCGCUGCUGUCGUUGCUUGGCAACAGCAUUCGACGUCUCCGCCGUCUCCCAUGGCAACGGACAACCGCAUCUUCCGCGCUCUUUCCUCUCUCAAUUAACAUGUCGGUGUUAGGCUAUGCCGUGUGUGCAGGCGCUGCGCCCUUUCUCGGUUAAGUUCAUGAGGGAUGCCCUUCGAGCGUGUUCAGUUCUCUCGAAGUGAAGAACGCAGAAGACGCGAUAACAUCCUUUACGCAGUAUAGUGCCUUAGGAUUUCGCUUCAACCGUUUAUAACCCUAACUCGUGUUGUGAGUAUGGUUACGCUGCAUCGUCUCCAGGGUGGCUGGGCACCAUUCCGCGUUUCCAUAGGAUAGGUUGAGUCAUAUCAAUGUCAGUAUCCUUCUAAUACUUCUAAUCCCGCCGAUGUUGGCGCAUACGUCAGCCGUAGCCAAACAUUGCCAACCCAUACCGUUCAGAAGUUUCCAUAUGGCAUGUUUCUACUUGGUGGUUUCUAUGAAUUAAGAAGGGAAUUAAAGUAAAAGAAGGAUAACCAAAGGCAGUUCUGUGAACAGUUUAACUUCCUUUAACGCGUGUUAUUUCCCCCUUCCCUCUGUAACUCUUUAGCUUGAGUAACUUUAAAAGGGUUUUAUGUAAAGUAACAAACGGACAAUUUCGAGGCAUUAGGUGUCUCAUGACGUCUUUGGGUAAUUCUACAUCAAAUUAGUUAAGAGGUGGCUUUGAACCACUGCUACCGCCGUUUCCGAGCACAGUUUUCAGAGCACAGCAUUUUUUAUUUUGUCUCAUCUGCGCCAUCGAAAAUUUAAUUCAGGGAUUCACUGCGUUGAUCGCCACCAUGAACUAAACGCUAUAAAGUUCUCACAUUUGGCAAGGACACGUUAUCAGCAACUAUUUCUUUUAAACUUAUGCGGUCGUGUAUAGGGUAUCGCAUGCUGGAGGAGGAGCCGUCAGUUUAGCGCGAACAUUUCACUGUC
This is a long non-coding RNA of Dermacentor silvarum, 8690 nucleotides long. RefSeq lists it as uncharacterized. NCBI's taxonomy places the organism in Eukaryota, Metazoa, Arthropoda, Arachnida, Ixodida, Ixodidae. The transcript is spliced from 4 exons. The record is from RefSeq and is a predicted model, not a curated record.